This 1055-nucleotide ribosomal RNA is filed under the name uncultured bacterium. Its description in RNAcentral is "bacterial SSU rRNA". It matches the Rfam family "Bacterial small subunit ribosomal RNA", at positions 8 to 1092 of the family's 1533-position model. The record is from RNAcentral.
AGAGUUUGAUCCUGGCUCAGAAUCAACGCUGGCGGCGCGCCUAACACAUGCAAGUCGAACGAGAAAGCCCCUUUCGGGGGGUGAGUACAGUGGCGAACGGGUGAGUAACACGUGGGUUACCUGCCCUCGAGUGGGGGAUAACCCCGGGAAACCGGGGCUAAUACCGCAUGCGACCCCAGUUUUGGGGUGAAAGCGUUCAGCGCUCGAGGAGGGGCCCGCGGCCGAUUAGCUGGUUGGUGGGGUAACGGCCCACCAAGGCAACGAUCGGUAGCCGGCCUGAGAGGGCACACGGCCACACUGGCACUGAGACACGGGCCAGACUCCUGCGGGAGGCAGCAGUGGGGAAUCUUGGACAAUGGGGGCAACCCUGAUCCAGCGACGCCGCGUGAUCGAGGAAGGCCUUCGGGUCGUAAAGAUCUUUCAGCGGGGACUAUGAUGAAGGUACCCGCAGAAGCAGGAGCGGCUAACUACGUGCCAGCAGCCGCGGUAAUACGUAGGCUCCAAGCGUUGUUCGGAAUUACUGGGCGUAAAGCGAGUGUAGGCGGCCCGUCGUGUCGGCUGUGAAAUCUCCCGGCUCAACCGGGAGGGUGCGGUCGAAACUGGCGGGCUAGAGUGCGGAAGAGGAAGGUAGAAUUCCUGGUGUAGCGGUGGAAUGCGUAGAGAUCAGGAGGAAUGCCGGCGGUGAAGACGGCCUUCCGGGCCGCCACUGACGCUGAGACUCGAAAGCGUGGGGAGCAAACAGGAUUAGAUACCCUGCUAGUCCACGCCCUAAACGAUGCAUACUUGGUGUGGGCCCUUCAGUGGGUCCGUGCCGGAGCUAACGCGUUAAGUAUGCCGCCUGGGGAGUACGGUCGCAAGGCUGAAACUCAAAGGAAUUGACGGGGGCCCGCACAAGCGGUGGAGCAUGUGAUUUAAUUCGACGCAACGCGAGGAACCUUACCUGGCUUGAACCGCGGCGGACCGCGACGAGACUGGCGCGUCCCUUCGGGGUCGUCGCAGAGGUGCUGCAUGGCUGUCGUCAGCUCGUGUCGUGAAAUGUCGGGAUAGUCCCGCAA